GAUGAACGCUGGCGGCGUGCCUAAUACAUGCAAGUCGAGCGAACAGACGAGGAGCUUGCUCCUCUGACGUUAGCGGCGGACGGGUGAGUAACACGUGGAUAACCUACCUAUAAGACUGGGAUAACUUCGGGAAACCGGAGCUAAUACCGGAUAAUAUAUUGAACCGCAUGGUUCAAUAGUGAAAGACGGUUUUGCUGUCACUUAUAGAUGGAUCCGCGCCGCAUUAGCUAGUUGGUAAGGUAACGGCUUACCAAGGCAACGAUGCGUAGCCGACCUGAGAGGGUGAUCGGCCACACUGGAACUGAGACACGGUCCAGACUCCUACGGGAGGCAGCAGCAGGGAAUCUUCCGCAAUGGGCGAAAGCCUGACGGAGCAACGCCGCGUGAGUGAUGAAGGUCUUCGGAUCGUAAAACUCUGUUAUUAGGGAAGGACAAAUGUGUAAGUAACUAUGCACGUCUUGACGGUACCUAAUCAGAAAGCCACGGCUAACUACGUG
Molecule: ribosomal RNA, 497 nt
Filed under: uncultured bacterium
Lineage: Bacteria
Description: partial 16S ribosomal RNA
Rfam family: Bacterial small subunit ribosomal RNA
Source: RNAcentral